This 85-nucleotide transfer RNA is filed under the name Felis catus (domestic cat). It matches the Rfam family "tRNA". From Rfam's summary of the family: Transfer RNA (tRNA) molecules are approximately 80 nucleotides in length. Lineage: Eukaryota; Metazoa; Chordata; Mammalia; Carnivora; Felidae. The record is from Rfam by way of RNAcentral.
GCCUGGGUAGCUCAGUCGGUUAAGCGUCUGACUUCGGCUCAGGUCAUGAUCUCACGAUUCGUGAGUUCGAACCCCUCAUUGGGCU